UAUGCACGCUGGCGGCGUGCCUAAUACAUGCAAGUCGAGCGAACGGACGAGAAGCUUGCUUCUCUGAUGUUAGCGGCGGACGGGUGAGUAACACGUGGAUAACCUACCUAUAAGACUGGGAUAACUUCGGGAAACCGGGGCUAAUACCGGAUAAUAUUUUGAACCGCAUGGUUCAAAAGUGAAAGACGGUCUUGCUGUCACUUAUAGAUGGAUCCGCGCUGCAUUAGCUAGUUGGUAAGGUAACGGCUUACCAAGGCAACGAUGCAUAGCCGACCUGAGAGGGUGAUCGGCCACACUGGAACUGAGACACGGUCCAGACUCCUACGGGAGGCAGCAGUAGGGAAUCUUCCGCAAUGGGCGAAAGCCUGACGUAGCAACGCCGCGUGAGUGAUGAAGGUCUUCGGAUCGUAAAACUCUGUUAUUAUGGAAGAACAUAUGUGUAAGUAACUGUGCACAUCUUGACGGUACCUAAUCAGAAAGCCACGGCUAACUACGUG
This 497-nucleotide ribosomal RNA is filed under the name uncultured bacterium. Its description in RNAcentral is "partial 16S ribosomal RNA". It matches the Rfam family "Bacterial small subunit ribosomal RNA", at positions 29 to 507 of the family's 1533-position model. The record is from RNAcentral.